UGGCUCCGGCUUAAGUUCUUUCCUUUCUUUCUCAUUGCACGGUGCGGUUCCCCAGGUCUCCUCUUCCGUCUUUUGCGCACUAUUCGAUAGUAGAGGAACAAAGUGAUAAAGUUUCUGGUUAAGUCUUUUUUUCCCUUUUUAUUACAACUUUUUUUUAUUUCCAUGCUACACUUUAAGGACACGCGUCGGCAUAAUUAUUGGACAACAGUUAAAGGAAAACAAGAAGAAAGUAACUCCUGUUGUGUUAUGUCUGCAAGGAGUCACAAGAAAUUGUUACUGAUUGCUAACAGGGAGGUGAUCUUGGGCCAGGGAAGAAGAAACACUUUUCAUUCUAUAAGCUUUGUUACGGUGAAGAAAUUGAGAUUCAGAGACAUUAAAUGCCCAAAACAACUAGGAUGGAACUCAGGUUGGUCUGGGUUGUCUCAUUAAAUACAGCUUAUAAACCCAAAGCCUAGAGUGGUCUGGUAGAGAAUAAAAGAAUGAGAAGACAG
Molecule: long non-coding RNA, 491 nt
Organism: Choloepus didactylus (southern two-toed sloth)
Lineage: Eukaryota; Metazoa; Chordata; Mammalia; Pilosa; Megalonychidae
Exons: 3
Source: RefSeq, a predicted model, not a curated record